RNAcentral lists this long non-coding RNA (222 nucleotides) under Lathyrus oleraceus (garden pea). RNAcentral describes it as "Pisum sativum (pea) long non-coding RNA (PSAT_LNC017395)". The record is from RNAcentral. Lineage: Eukaryota; Viridiplantae; Streptophyta; Magnoliopsida; Fabales; Fabaceae.
GAUUGUUUGUGAGUUUGGUGUUGGCUGUAAGGCAAUAUUGAUUAACUUAUUGGUUUCUUUAUCAUUGCACUUGUUGGAAAGGCACUUAGUUAACUUGUUGGUGUUGGCUGUAACUCAAUUUUUUCACGAGUGAUAUGAUAAUUGUAAGUUUUAAGUUCACUUUCUAAAAUUUCUUAAAUCAUACAUGUUCUCUAAGAAUUGUGAUUUUUGAUUUGAUCAUCC